Long non-coding RNA from Etheostoma spectabile (orangethroat darter), 268 nucleotides. RefSeq lists it as uncharacterized. The transcript has 3 exons. The record is from RefSeq and is a predicted model, not a curated record. Lineage: Eukaryota; Metazoa; Chordata; Actinopteri; Perciformes; Percidae.
GUUGCAUGGUCCAGCUGAUGCCAGCAAUGCUUUUCACAGGGUGACGAUGCAGUGUACAUAUCCUCUGGCUGGACUGUUGCGUCUCUUUUUUGUAUAUAGGUUUGAGUCUGAAACAGCUGGUGUUGGUCAUAUUGUGCAUUCUGCACACUCCAGUGAAGGUCUACUGAGUCCCACCAUCAAGCCAACAACCAUGCUUCAAACACCAUUGUCCCGUGAAAGACAUGUUUCAAUUCAACCUGCUUACCGGCCUUCUGCUCAGUAUAUCAAA